This 222-nucleotide unclassified non-coding RNA is filed under the name Hevea brasiliensis (rubber tree). The record is from RNAcentral. Lineage: Eukaryota; Viridiplantae; Streptophyta; Magnoliopsida; Malpighiales; Euphorbiaceae.
UCUGUACCUGCACCUACUGAAGUAGUGGAAUCUUUGCCAGUCAAAUUAUACACGAAGUUGCAAAAGCAACAGCAUGAGGAGGCAGCUCAAUGCUAUAUAUGCCUUGUGGAGUAUGAGGAAGGGGACAGCAUGCGGAUACUGCCUUGCCAUCAUGAAUUUCAUAGAACAUGUAUAGACAAAUGGCUCAAGGAGAUCCACUACUUCAGUAGGUGCAGGUACAGA